UCCGGUUUGGCACCGACUCAAAGAGGGACCCUGUCUCCAGGGUUUUCCGGCAUAUGUCAAGCCUUGGUAAGGUUCUUCGCGUUGCGUCGAAUUAAGCCACAUGCUCCGCCGCUUGUGCGGGCCCCCGUCAAUUCCUUUGAGUUUUAGCCUUGCGGCCGUACUCCCCAGGCGGGGCGCUUAAUGCGUUAGCUGCGGCACGGACCCCGUGGAAUGGGACCCACACCUAGCGCCCAACGUUUACGGCGUGGACUAC
This 253-nucleotide unclassified non-coding RNA is filed under the name uncultured Actinomycetes bacterium. Its description in RNAcentral is "uncultured actinobacterium contains 16S-23S intergenic spacer region". The record is from RNAcentral. Lineage: Bacteria; Bacillati; Actinomycetota; Actinomycetes.